This 328-nucleotide ribosomal RNA is filed under the name uncultured eukaryote. RNAcentral's name for it is "partial 18S ribosomal RNA". It matches the Rfam family "Eukaryotic small subunit ribosomal RNA", at positions 1470 to 1796 of the family's 1831-position model. The record is from RNAcentral.
CCCUUAGAUGUUCUGGGCCGCACGCGCGCUACACUGAUGCAAUCAACGAGUUUACAACCUUGGCCGAGAGGCCUGGGUAAUCUUUUUAAACUGCAUCGUGAUGGGGAUAGAUUAUUGCAAUUAUUAAUCUUCAACGAGGAAUUCCUAGUAAACGCGAGUCAUCAGCUCGCAUUGAUUACGUCCCUGCCCUUUGUACACACCGCCCGUCGCACCUACCGAUUGAGUGGUCCGGUGAGGCUUUGGGAUCUGAGCGGAAAGAGCGUUUCGCUGUUUCUGCUCGGAAAACUCAGUCGAACCUUAUCAUUUAGAGGAAGGAGAAGUCGUAACA